Molecule: ribosomal RNA, 394 nt
Filed under: uncultured bacterium
Lineage: Bacteria
Description: partial 16S ribosomal RNA
Rfam family: Bacterial small subunit ribosomal RNA
Source: RNAcentral
AUACGGAGGAUGCAAGCGUUAUCCGGAUUUAUUGGGUUUAAAGGGAGCGUAGGCGGAUGAUUAAGCGUGAGGUGAAAUGCCACUGCUCAACAGUGGAACUGCCUCGCGAACUGGUUGUCUUGAAUGCUCCUGCCGUGGGAGGAAUGUGUGGUGUAGCGGUGAAAUGCAUAGAGAUCACACAGAACACCGAUUGCGAAGGCAUCUCACGAAGGGGUGAUUGACGCUGAGGCACGAAAGCGUGGGGAUCAAACAGGAUUAGAUACCCUGGUAGUCCACGCAGUAAACGAUGAUAACUAACCGCUGGGUCGUAGUGAUUCAGUGGCCAAGCGAAAGCGAUAAGUUAUCCACCUGGGGAGUACGACCGCAAGGUUGAAACUCAAAGGAAUUGACGGGG